CAACUGUUACAUAAGUCAUUUGGUCAAGCAUUUUGUUUUAUUUGGAGAUGUACAAGCUCACACCGAAAACCACAAAACAUUUUUCCGUGCAUAAACGCCCAAAAUGUGCCCCACUGCGAAACGUCAUGCAAGCAACUCAGCGAAAACAAUCUGUCACUUGCAACUCGGCGAAAGCAAGCGAUCGCGCUUCCGGUGAGCCACAUACACACCCACACGGCUAAGACGCUCGACAUUCAGACCGGCAAGUAGCAAGGAGCAAGGUGAACGUCGUGUGCGAGCUGAUUGACCGCUGGAGCAGCAUACAGGACCAGCCAAAUCGUGGUGAGUGGAUUCACGAUAAGUGUAAUCAAUAAGUGCUAAGGCAACAACUUUAUCCCAGAAGAUCUGCGCUGGAAACACGUACCGGGAGUGGACUGCUGCACGACGAUUCACCGCAAGCUUCCCACGUGCAAAAUCCUCCCCGUUCGGUAGAAUCCACCGUCGCGGGUUUUCCGACCUACGUAGUCGAGCGGGAAUCACGGAAGGCCGUGCGUUGCAUCAUCCGGAAGAAGAUUCACGCUAAGUGGUUCGGAAACCGCGGGAGAUUCGUGCUGAAUAGCGACCAACGUAAAAACAUCAUCAGUCCAUCGACGAGGUUUGCACCGGAUCAGAACAGCGAACACCCGUAGAUCGCCAGCACACUUGACCGGCAGCAGUGCUAAUCUGGCCUACGUUGAUACUUAUUCCGUACGGGAAACCCGACAGAACGCCCGGAACGACGCUGAGCAUCACGACACAGCAAAGAAGCCUUCCAAGAAGAAGGCUUUUUGUGUUUGCUUUCAGCUCGUCCACAUCGGCUGUACAGA
Aedes albopictus (Asian tiger mosquito) is the source of this 845-nucleotide long non-coding RNA. RefSeq lists it as uncharacterized. The record is from RefSeq and is a predicted model, not a curated record. Lineage: Eukaryota; Metazoa; Arthropoda; Insecta; Diptera; Culicidae. The transcript is spliced from 4 exons.